CACAGUUUUAAAUUGUACAUAUCAUGUUGGGGUCCAACCCCAGCAGGUCCAGGGGUUCCCAAAGGUGUGGACAGAGUUGGCAAAGAAGGAAUGGCACGG
Molecule: long non-coding RNA, 99 nt
Organism: Myotis brandtii (Brandt's bat)
Lineage: Eukaryota; Metazoa; Chordata; Mammalia; Chiroptera; Vespertilionidae
Exons: 3
Source: RefSeq, a predicted model, not a curated record